CAAAGGAGAGAUCCGGUACCGGCUGGGCAUGCGGCGCAUUAGCUAGUUGGCGGGGCAACGGCCCACCAAGGCGACGAUGCGUAGGGGUUCUGAGAGGAAGGUCCCCCACACUGGAACUGAGACACGGUCCAGACUCCUACGGGAGGCAGCAGUGAGGAAUAUUGGUCAAUGGGCGCAAGCCUGAACCAGCCAAGUCGCGUGAGGGAAGACGGCCCUACGGGUUGUAAACCUCUUUUGCCGGGGAGCAAGCCUGAGCACGUGUGCCCAGGCGGAGAGUACCCGGAGAAAAAGCAUCGGCUAACUCCGUGCCAGCAGCCGCGGUAAUACGGAGGAUGCGAGCGUUAUCCGGAUUUAUUGGGUUUAAAGGGUGCGCAGGCGGGCUGUUAAGCCGGCGGUAAAAAUUCAGGGCUCAACCCUGUCGAGCCGUCGGAACUGGCAGUCUUGAGUGGGCGAGAAGUAUGCGGAAUGCGUGGUGUAGCGGUGAAAUGCAUAGAUAUCACGCAGAACGCCGAUUGCGAAGGCAGCAUACCGGCGCCCAACUGACGCUGAGGCACGAAAGCGUGGGGAUCGAACAGGCUUAGAUACCCUGGUAGUCCACGCAGUAAACGAUGAGCGCUAACUGUCCGGAGCGAGCGAGCUCUGG
RNAcentral lists this ribosomal RNA (643 nucleotides) under uncultured bacterium. RNAcentral describes it as "bacterial SSU rRNA". It matches the Rfam family "Bacterial small subunit ribosomal RNA", at positions 202 to 842 of the family's 1533-position model. The record is from RNAcentral.